AGUGAACGCUGGCGGUAGGCCUAACACAUGCAAGUCGAACGGCAGCACAGUAAGAGCUUGCUCUUACGGGUGGCGAGUGGCGGACGGGUGAGGAAUACAUCGGAAUCUACUUUUUCGUGGGGGAUAACGUAGGGAAACUUACGCUAAUACCGCAUACGACCUACGGGUGAAAGCAGUGGAUCUUCGGACCUUGCGCGAUUGAAUGAGCCGAUGUCGGAUUAGCUCGUUGGCGGGGUAAAGGCCCACCAAGGCGACGAUCCGUAGCUGGUCUGAGAGGAUGAUCAGCCACACUGGAACUGAGACACGGUCCAGACUCCUACGGGAGGCAGCAGUGGGGAAUAUUGGACAAUGGGCGCAAGCCUGAUCCAGCCAUACCGCGUGGGUGAAGAAGGCCUUCGGGUUGUAAAGCCCUUUUGUUGGGAAAGAAAAGCAGCAGGUUAAUACCCCGCUGUUCUGACGGUACCCAAAGAAUAAGCACCGGCUAACUUCGUG
RNAcentral lists this ribosomal RNA (492 nucleotides) under uncultured bacterium. RNAcentral's name for it is "partial 16S ribosomal RNA". It matches the Rfam family "Bacterial small subunit ribosomal RNA", at positions 29 to 507 of the family's 1533-position model. The record is from RNAcentral.